GCUUGUGAGGAGGAAGUUCUGAAGAACCUCUCACUUCCAGUGGUCUCAGGAAACGUAAGGCCAAAGCCAAGGGUCUGCUGGUGAAUGUGACAGCACUGAUUAAAUGUUCAGUCCUGUUGGCCCUCUUAACUAAUAGGGGGAGUGGGAUCCUGGGAAGGAGUAUGACAUUUGUGCAAAAUUUAAAAGGCUGAGAACUUGUAAUCUCCCUUUUCCCACAAACCUCUCUUCCUUAUAGAGGCAGCCUCCUCUACCCCUCUCACUUUAUUGAUGCCAUUUGCUAACUAAAUCUGAUGAGCAAGAAAUAGCUGUCAAGAACUGUGAUGGUCUGAGAUUUUACCCCACUAAAAUUUUAUUGGAACACAGCAACACCAUUCAUUUACAAAUUAUUGAUGACGGCUUUCACAUUGCAGUGGCAGAGCUGAAUAGUUCCAGCAGAAAUCAUGGCCUGCAAAGCCUGAAACAUUUAGUAUCUGCCCCUUUCCAAAGAAGUUUGCUGACCAGGGUUCUAAUCCACAGAACUAAAAACCUGGAUGUGACAAGCAGCAUUCCAUUGUCAAGUUGGAGUGGUGUCCACCAGCCCAGGGCUGAGCAACCCCAAGUUCACAAGCUGCAUAGAAGACUUGGGUCCUAUAUCAUCUCCUCCUCUGCUGCCUCUCUCCCCAUCUGUACCUCGGGAACUUUGGGCCAUUUCAUAUGGAGGAAAAGACCUGGUUUCUGGAUGUGGACAGGACACUACACCAUGGCCUCCUCUCGAGUAGGAGGGAAUCCUGUUAGGGAGCAAACUGGAUGGUGCAUCAAGUCUACUGCUAAAGGAAGAUAUGUCUAACUCUGGUGGCUCAAGGGCAAUAGCUAACAGGUUGGCCAGCUGGUCAAAGUUUUGGAAAAAACAGAAACUUGGUGAUGUGUAGUUCUGGCAGGGAGAGGUAUGUAAAAGGGCCCCUCCAGACAGGAACAGAAGAAAUCGGUGUCCCAAAUAAAUGCCAUCAGAGAGCAUCCAAGACAAAGAAAGAGCUCAGGAAUCAGGCAAACAAGACCACCUGUCCAGUGGGACAUGGGCCUCUUUCCUCAGGGACCCCGUUCUUUCUUGGUGAACCCUUGUGCACAGUGGCCACGGCGGCAGGGAAGGGGGUGAUGGACGAGCUUGAACACAGCCUCCCCCUUGCCAAGGCUGAUCUGACAGCACUACUGAGGGCCUGAUCCAUUAACAGAGGCCAAGGCAGGACCCCCAGUGUGACUCCACUCUCCAGGAGGACCAACCAGCUACCUGUGACAUGUGGGUUACAUUCAACCCUUUCUAUCUUGGAAGAGGUGCUACCUUUCUUUCUAGAACAGACAUAUUUUAUGAGUAUAGAUUGCUAUACCUGCCCCCCAUCCAUGACUUCCAGAGUGUUUUCUCAAGAGCAGUGAAUCUGAUGGUUUUCAAAAUAUGUCUUAAAAAGUCUACAUGCCUCCCUCCAAAAGGAGAAGCCUCAUUUGUGUCCCUUGACUGGUGUGGACUUAUGGCCUCAUAAUGGCAGAGGGGAUGCACCAUCACUUCCUAGUUUAGGUGAUAAAAAGACUGCAACUUAAAUCCUAAGUGUGCUCUUUCUCUUUUUUUCUUCUUAAGGCUGUACCUGUGGCAUAUGGAAGUUCCCAGGCUAGGGAAUGAAUCAGAGCUGUACUUUCAGGCCUAGGCCCCAGCCACGGCGACAUUGGAUCCAAGCUGCAUCUGCAACCUACAUCACAGCCUGCAGCAAGGUCGGAUCCUUCACCCACUUGAUCAAGGCCAGGGACUGAACCCUUUUGGACACCAUGUUGGGUACUUAACCCGCUGAGCCACACUGGGAACUCCCUGGGUGUGUUCUUACUAUCUCUUUCUCCCCCACCCCACUUGGGGGCUCUCACCGGAAAGCCCUGUUACAGACCAAGUGGAGAGGAACUAGAGCCCAGAAGUGAACUCGGCGAUGAAGGCUGUUCCAGUACGGCCUCAAGAGACUGCAGCAAUCCCUGAAGUUUGUUCCAGGAGAGGUCCUGAGCCAGAGCCACUCAGCUCAGCCACUUGUCUCCUGAUCCCCAGAACCUGUGAGGUAAUAAAUGUCUCUAGUCUUAAGCCACUACAUUUGGUUUAAUUUGUUACACAGCAGCAGAAUUAAGUAUCCUACACAACGCUGCCUCCAACGGGACUUCUUUUGCAGAAAUGGGCUCCUGUCCAUGGAAUCCUGGUCUUAACAGCUGCCUAUGGAGGCUCAGUUGUGCUGUUAGAUGCAGACAGCUGGCGAGGUCAGGCCCUGUCCUGUAACACAGCCUGUCCUUAGACCAGCAGUGGUCACUCCCAUGCCCAGGGCACACAGUUCUGGGAAGGAGGGUGGAGGUCAGAGCGACCCCUUCUCACACUGAAUAGUCCGUGCACCGAACCUUGCUAUACUUCACACUUCUUGCCAAAAAAGAGCAUGUGGACUCUGUUUCAAGCAUCACAGUCACCAUUAACAUCUGAGUUCCUGUCAUGGCUCUGCAGAAACGAAUCUCACUAGCAUCCAUGAGGACACAGGUUCGAUCCCUGGCCUCGCUCAGUGGGUUAAGGAUCCGGUGUUGCCAUGAGCUAUGGUGUAGGUUGCAGACAGGGCUCGGAUCCUGAGUUGCUGUGGCUGUGGUGUAGGCUGUGGCUACAGCACCGAUUAGGCCCCUAGCCUGGGAACCUCCAUAUGAGAUGAGGGUGGCCCUAAAAAGACAAAAAAAAAAUUUGAAUUUACAUUAAUUAGUCAUUUAAAAACCAUUCAAUAGCUUAAUGAUUUAUAUAUUUAAUAUAUAAAGUAUUUCAAAAUGAUAUCUUGUUUAGGAAAAACAUAUAAAAUUUUAAUUAAAUGUGCCCAAGACACUGGUUUUCUGUGUCCAUGAUCUUUUCAUCAUUCAGUUUUUCAGGAGGCAGGGGAGGACUGCAUGUCAUGCUGUGAAAACAGGUUCAUUAACAACUAGAUAUGCUUUAUUAGGACCAAAGAACUUUAUAUUUAUUUUAAAUAUCAAAACAACACAAGGAACUAAUUCAAUAUACAACACAUUUCCUAGUCUUCACAGAGAACUGAAUUUUUCCAUAAAGACGUUGGUACUGAGAAAACACGAGACAGUCAAAAGAUCUAUAAAACUCACAAGAUACUUUACACACAGUUGACAAAAUAAUGAGUCUUGAUAGUUUAGAUUUUUCUUUGUAAUUGUUUUUGAAAGAGUCCUUAAUGAUUAAAAACAAAAACUUAAGAUUGGAGACUGAAAACUAAGUUCAAAGGCAUUUCCAUUUUAAUGUACAGCAUAAAUCCCGUAACCAGAACGUUUCCUACAGAACACGGAGCAGCCAAACGCCCACCUCUGCUCACUUUCUGGCAGCUGCACUCAUCAACUGUGAUACAGCUGUAAUUUCUUAUCCACAGAUAAGAAAAGUCUUGAUUGUUGAGGAAUAAAAAUUUUGUCUUUACACCACAGUUCACUGUCCAACUGUAUGUAACGCAAGCAGGAAUACCAAGCAAAGAGGUGAAAUACCGAGACGCCUACAUGCUCUCCAUUCAAGAAAUGUUUAGAAUCUCCCAAAGCAAUACAAGCACCAAAAUUACUUCUUGAACCUAAGAAUUUGGAAAAAAGCAGAACAAAGGAAGUAUACUCAUCUUUGAUGACCUCUAUUUUCUGGAUGUAAUUCUUAUUUUCUCUUUAUAUAAACGGCUGCAGAGGCUAAAUUUAAAUUGUUUGGGAUUUUGCAAUAGUCCUAGACUCAGGAUCAGGGCACAGCAAGUUGGAAGAUGAAGAGUAAAUGCAGCGCAGGUGCUCUCCCUACCAGACCUUCCGCUCAUCCUCCAAGAGACCCAGUGCUGUUCCUUCUACCUCAUUAAAGCCACUUCCAGAAAGGAAGAGCAGAAAGCAUGCAACGAUUCCAGGACAAAAGUACCUUGAAGCAGAAAGAAGCUGAGAAGAAAUGAGGGAACAAUACUCUCCCAAACCCACUAGAGACGUUACCAGGAGAGGAACGUGCAAAAGCAAGGGGAGGAUCUAAAGGGAACUGUCUGUGGUUCCUAGAAAUUAUAAGAAAACUAUUCUCACAUUAUCCAUCACUUGAUCUAAUAGUAAGUAACAUUUACUAUAACACUUUUCAACGUUUUAGAAAUGCUACUUGUUCUUCAUUAAAAAAUACAUUUGAGUCAUUUCAGAUUUGGCACUGAAUCUCAGAAUAAUCCAAAUACGACUAUAAAAGCCCUAAUUCUUCCUGGGUUCCAUCAACUCAAGUUGUCUCAAGUUGCUUGGGUUGUUUGCUGCUCCUAACGAGAGACUCAUCUCACACCAUCACCUCUGGUUCACUUUUAGGCAAACUGCAAAAAGAAGCUGUUCAGUGUAGAGCUGGGUGGUUGGGUAACUGAUUAUUAACAAGAAAAGGUGGAGAGGACAGGAGAAGGAGACAGAGAGGCAGACACACUCUUUUUAUUUUACUUGUCAGAUGCCUCUGAAGAGCAUCUGGAGACAGGCCCAGGAGUGGCUUCACAGUAACCAGAAAGGCCACAAUAGUAGAG
This 4523-nucleotide long non-coding RNA is filed under the name Sus scrofa (pig). Its description in RNAcentral is "lncRNA (ENSSSCG00000057505.1)". The record is from RNAcentral. Lineage: Eukaryota; Metazoa; Chordata; Mammalia; Artiodactyla; Suidae.